Brassica napus (rape) is the source of this 956-nucleotide long non-coding RNA. RefSeq lists it as uncharacterized. The transcript has 3 exons. NCBI's taxonomy places the organism in Eukaryota, Viridiplantae, Streptophyta, Magnoliopsida, Brassicales, Brassicaceae. The record is from RefSeq and is a predicted model, not a curated record.
AAAAAGAACAAGGAGACAAAAUCAGAGACAAAAGAAGAGAAGAGAGCAGAGAAGGAUGAGAAGAUCUUGCCAGAGGAGAAGAACACAACUUCUGUUGCGCUUCCUUGCAUUGAUAAGCUUCGAGACGAGUUGUCUUGUGCAAUUUGUCUUGAGAUUUGUUAUGAACCAAGUACUACAACUUGUGGACACCGGUACAUCUUACUACACAACAAACACCACAGAGUUGUCAUUGUGCGGUGAAUUUGAAAUGGCAAAUACUGCACGGUUAAUACAGUUCUUUGGAACACAAUCCAGCUUAUGUUCCCCAAAGAAGUGGAAGCACAGAGAGCUGCUGCUUCUGCUAACUUCCUAACCAAGGAAACGCCAAGCCCUAGAGACUCUAAUCAGAAGGUAAGAAGCAGGAACAGAGAUACGGCGUUUCAAGCUAGGUUGCAGAGAGAGGAUAUCUCGAGGUUACUUGUGUCUGAAGAGAAAAGGAGGAGAGGCGUGAGGUUGGAUCAAGAUAGCGAUGCAGCGUUUGCGUCGCGGUUACAGCGGCAGGAAUUUGCGUCUGCGUUUGGCGGUACGGUGGCUGAGACAAUUUACACUUCUUCUUCAUCAACGGCUCUAGCCUUUCUUUUGUUGUUACCUAAACAAAUUUGAUGUACUGAUACAGGUUGCAGAGGGAUGCAUUGCCUCUUUUCAGUAUGCUAAGAGUAAAAUUUAAGUCUUGCAUAGAUAGAGAACCACUGCUUAACGAGGUAUGCAAGAUUAGUCUCUGCAUGUUUUGAUAAUUAUUAUUAUCUCCUUCCUUACUCUUGUUAUCCCUCUUCUUUCAGACGCAGAUAACAAACUCAAAGUCGUUAAAACUCCAAAUGCUGUGAAUCCCCUUGUGCUUGGUUCUUUUGUAAGUUUUUCAAUCUAAGAACUUGAAUAUAAAGUUAGUUUGUACUAUGUUUUAAGAAAAAGUUUAAGUU